RNAcentral lists this ribosomal RNA (467 nucleotides) under uncultured bacterium. RNAcentral describes it as "partial 16S ribosomal RNA". It matches the Rfam family "Bacterial small subunit ribosomal RNA", at positions 28 to 506 of the family's 1533-position model. The record is from RNAcentral.
GACGAACGCUGGCGGCGUGCUUAACACAUGCAAGUCGAACGGAAAGGCCCUGCUUUUGCGGGGUGCUCGAGUGGCGAACGGGUGAGUAACACGUGAGUAACCUGCCCUUGACUUUGGGAUAACUUCAGGAAACUGGGGCUAAUACCGGAUAGGAGCUCCUGCUGCAUGGUGGGGGUUAGAAAGUUUCGGCGGUUGGGGAUGGACUCGCGGCUUAUCAGCUUGUUGGUGGGGUAGUGGCUUACCAAGGCUUUGACGGGUAGCCGGCCUGAGAGGGUGACCGGCCACAUUGGGACUGAGAUACGGCCCAGACUCCUACGGGAGGCAGCAGUGGGGAAUAUUGCACAAUGGGCGGAAGCCUGAUGCAGCAACGCCGCGUGCGGGAUGACGGCCUUCGGGUUGUAAACCGCUUUCGCCUGUGACGAAGCGUGAGUGACGGUAAUGGGUAAAGAAGCACCGGCUAACUACGU